GCAUAUCAAUAAGCGGAGGAAAAGAAACCAACCGGGAUUGCCUCAGUAACGGCGAGUGAAGCGGCAAGAGCUCAAAUUUGAAAUCUGGCCCCCUCCGGGGUCCGAGUUGUAAUUUGCAGAGGAUGCUUCGGGUGCGGUCCCCGUCUAAGUGCCCUGGAACGGGCCGUCAUAGAGGGUGAGAAUCCCGUCUGGGAUGGGCGGCCGCGCCCGUGUGAAGCUCCUUCGACGAGUCGAGUUGUUUGGGAAUGCAGCUCUAAGCGGGUGGUAAAUUUCAUCUAAAGCUAAAUACUGGCCGGAGACCGAUAGCGCACAAGUAGAGUGAUCGAAAGAUGAAAAGCACUUUGAAAAGAGAGUUAAACAGCACGUGAAAUUGUUGAAAGGGAAGCGUUGUCCACCAGACUCGCCCGGGGGGGUUCAGCCGGCACCUGUGCCGGUGUACUCCUCCCCGGGCGGGCCAGCAUCGGUUUGGGCGGCUGGUGAAAGGCCCCGGGAAUGUAACACCCUUCGGGGUGCCUUAUAGCCCGGGGUGCCAUGCGGCCAGCCUGGACCGAGGCCCGCGCUUCGGCGAGGAUGCUGGCGUAAUGGUGGUCAACGGCCCGUCUUGAAACACGGACCAAGGAGUCUAACAUCUAUGCGAGUGUUCGGGUGUCAAACCCGUCCGCGCAGUGAAAGCGAACGGAGGUGGGAGCCCCCCCGGGGGCGCACCAUCGACCGAUCCUGAUGUCUUCGGAUGGAUUUGAGUAAGAGCAUAGCUGUUGGGACCCGAAAGAUGGUGAACUAUGCCUGAAUAGGGCGAAGCCAGAGGAAACUCUGGUGGAGGCUCGCAGCGGUUCUGACGUGCAAAUCGAUCGUCAAAUUUGGGUAUAGGGGCGAAAGACUAAUCGAACCAUCUGGUAGCUGGUUCCUGCC
RNAcentral lists this ribosomal RNA (909 nucleotides) under Talaromyces rubicundus. RNAcentral describes it as "LSU rRNA". It matches the Rfam family "Eukaryotic large subunit ribosomal RNA", at positions 38 to 962 of the family's 3401-position model. Lineage: Eukaryota; Fungi; Ascomycota; Eurotiomycetes; Eurotiales; Trichocomaceae. The record is from RNAcentral.